Molecule: unclassified non-coding RNA, 257 nt
Filed under: Hevea brasiliensis (rubber tree)
Lineage: Eukaryota; Viridiplantae; Streptophyta; Magnoliopsida; Malpighiales; Euphorbiaceae
Source: RNAcentral
AAUCACCGUCCCAUCUGUCUCUUAGCCAUAAGCCUGCCAAGUGCCAUGGCCAUUUCUUUCUUCUCUCCAAUCCCUCCCAAGCUUCCCUUCUCCCUCUAAACCCUUCUCCGUCUCUCUUAUGUCUCUAAUUUCUACUUCACAGAUCGCUCUAUUCCAUGGCGAUUGUUACCGGAGAUCGAUACCUUGAGAAGCUCGUCCAUUUCGUAGAACACCAAGCGGGCCCUUUGAUCGAGGGCUCUUUAGUUCUUAAGCUUAAU